This 406-nucleotide ribosomal RNA is filed under the name uncultured bacterium. RNAcentral's name for it is "partial 16S ribosomal RNA". It matches the Rfam family "Bacterial small subunit ribosomal RNA", at positions 30 to 526 of the family's 1533-position model. The record is from RNAcentral.
AUUGAACGCUGGCGGCAGGCCUAACACAUGCAAGUCGAACGAGUGGCGGACGGGUGAGUAAUGUCUGGGAAACUGCCUGAUGGAGGGGGAUAACUACUGGAAACGGUAGCUAAUACCGCAUACCAUCGGAUGUGCCCAGAUGGGAUUAGCUAGUAGGUGGGGUAACGGCUCACCUAGGCGACGAUCCCUAGCUGGUCUGAGAGGAUGAUCAGGCAAACUGGAACUGGGACCAGGUCCAGAAUCCUACGGGAGGGAGCAGGGGGGAAUAUUGGACAAUGGGCGAAAGCCUGAUGCAGCCAUGCCGCGUGUGUGAAGAAGGUCUUCGGAUUGUAAAGCACUUUAAGUGGGGAGGCGUUACCAACAGAAUAAGCACCGGCUAACUUCGUGCCAGCAGCCGCGGUAAUUC